RNAcentral lists this ribosomal RNA (440 nucleotides) under uncultured bacterium. RNAcentral's name for it is "partial 16S ribosomal RNA". It matches the Rfam family "Bacterial small subunit ribosomal RNA", at positions 338 to 795 of the family's 1533-position model. The record is from RNAcentral.
CCUACGGGAGGCUGCAGUGGGGAAUAUUGCACAAUGGGGGAAACCCUGAUGCAGCGACGCCGCGUGAGUGAAGAAGUAUUUCGUUAUGUAAAGCUCUAUCAGCAGGGAAGAAAAUGACGGUACCUGAGUAAGAAGCCCCGGCUAACUACGUGCCAGCAGCCGCGGUAAUACGUAGGGGGCAAGCGUUAUCCGGAUUUACUGGGUGUAAAGGGGGCGUAGACGGCAGUGCAAGGCUGGAGUGAAAGGCCGGGGCGCAACCCCGGGACUGCUCUUGAAACUGUACGGCUGGAGUGCAGGAGAGGUAAGUGGAAUUCCUGGUGUAGCGGUGAAAUGCGUAGAUAUCAGGAGGAACACCAGUGGCGAAGGCGGCUUGCUGGACUGUAACUGACGUUGAGGCUCGAAAGCGUGGGGAGCAAACAGGAUUAGAUACCCGAGUAGUC